RNAcentral lists this long non-coding RNA (557 nucleotides) under Homo sapiens (human). RNAcentral's name for it is "HSALNT0365479". The record is from RNAcentral. Lineage: Eukaryota; Metazoa; Chordata; Mammalia; Primates; Hominidae.
GCGUCCACCUCUACGCAUGCGCCCCCAGCUUCCGCGGGAGGGAGGGGGCGGAAAAAGGAGGAGGAAGAGGGGCGGGCAAACUUGGAACUAACCAAUGAUAGCGGCGCUAGCCGGGAUCUUGGCCGGCACAGAACUGGGGGCGGAAUCGCGCGGGGCCUGAAGGGAGGGGUUUGGGCGCGGGAGCCGGGCAGGAGAAGACGGAAGUGGAGCGAGGACAAAAUGGCUGCGAAGUAACAUGAGGUGAUAUCUUUCCUGGUUUGACUUUCAUCAAAAAUUAAACGACAGACCAUACCGACGCUUUGAAAACGUGACUGAGCUGGUGCACAAAACAAUGGUGCCUAGAAUUUUGAAUUGUGCAAUGUUGUGCAUGGCCGCGGAUAUGUGGGGCCUUGUGGUUCCAAGAGCCUGUCUCAGGUGUACCGGCCCUCAUCACUGGGCUUCAGAGGUUCAAUCUGCAAGGAGGCAUCUCCUGCCAGGAAAUUGGAAGCAAAGGCCACUCGGCCCUUCUGUUCCUCAGUCAAGUUAUUGUAGACAUGACGACUGGAGUAAGUGAUCAC